AGAACGAACGCUGGCGGCAUGCCUAAUACAUGCAAGUCGAACGAACACUUCGGUGUUAGUGGCGCACGGGUGCGUAAUGCCUAGGAAUCUGCCUGGUAGUGGGGGAUAACGCUCGGAAACGGACGCUAAUACCGCAUACGUCCUACGGGAGAAAGCGAGGGGACCUUCGGGCCUUGCGCUAUCAGAUGAGCCUAGGUCGGAUUAGCUAGGUUGGUGAGGUAUGGCUCACCGAAGGCGACGAUCCGUAACUGGUCUGAGAGGAUGAUCAGUCACACUGGAACUGAGACCACGGUCCAGUACCUCCGACGGGAGCAGCGAGGUGGGAAUGUGGACAGUGGGACAACGCU
RNAcentral lists this ribosomal RNA (347 nucleotides) under uncultured soil bacterium. RNAcentral describes it as "bacterial SSU rRNA". It matches the Rfam family "Bacterial small subunit ribosomal RNA", at positions 26 to 384 of the family's 1533-position model. The record is from RNAcentral.